UCAGUGAGGAUGAAAGGAACCCAACUGGCCUGCUCUUAUCUCCAGACAGCUAACCCCUGGUAUUUGGCUGCCAGGCCAAGCCUCCCCCUUAGCCCUCAAGGCCAGGCAAGGUAACAAGCCCAGGUUACAUAAGAUUUCUCCUCACCUGCUUCCACAGGACCAGCCUCCUUCUCAAAUUAUGGUCCAGAUAGCAAAUAAUCUCCAAAACCACUUAAUGAUGAUUCCUGACUCCAUUAAGCUCAGGUCAUGAUCUCCGGGUCCUGGGAUCAAGCCCCACAUUGGACUCCCUG
Molecule: long non-coding RNA, 290 nt
Organism: Canis lupus familiaris (dog)
Lineage: Eukaryota; Metazoa; Chordata; Mammalia; Carnivora; Canidae
Exons: 4
Source: RefSeq, a predicted model, not a curated record